GUGGGGAAUCUUGCGCAAUGGGCGAAAGCCUGACGCAGCCAUGCCGCGUGAAUGAUGAAGGUCUUAGGAUUGUAAAAUUCUUUCACCGGGGACGAUAAUGACGGUACCCGGAGAAGAAGCUCCGGCUAACUUCGUGCCAGCAGCCGCGGUAAUACGAAGGGGGCUAGCGUUGCUCGGAAUUACUGGGCGUAAAGGGCGCGUAGGCGGACAGCUUAGUCAGAGGUGAAAGCCCAGGGCUCAACCUUGGAAUUGCCUUUGAUACUGGCUGUCUUGAGUUUGGGAGAGGUGAGUGGAACUCCGAGUGUAGAGGUGAAAUUCGUAGAUAUUCGGAAGAACACCAGUGGCGAAGGCGACUCACUGGCCCAAUACUGACGCUGAGGCGCGAAAGCGUGGGGAGCAAACAGGAUUAGAUACCCCUGUAGUCC
Molecule: ribosomal RNA, 425 nt
Filed under: uncultured bacterium
Lineage: Bacteria
Description: bacterial SSU rRNA
Rfam family: Bacterial small subunit ribosomal RNA
Source: RNAcentral